CGGGAUAUAGCGCAGUCUGGUCUAGCGCGUUUGACUGGGGGUCAAAAGGUCGCGAGUUCGAAUCUCGCUAUCCCGACCA
This 79-nucleotide transfer RNA is filed under the name bioreactor metagenome. RNAcentral describes it as "tRNA-Pro". It matches the Rfam family "tRNA". From Rfam's summary of the family: Transfer RNA (tRNA) molecules are approximately 80 nucleotides in length. Their secondary structure includes four short double-helical elements and three loops (D, anti-codon, and T loops). The record is from RNAcentral.